GAAAGGUUGUUUUCUUUCGCUGCGUUCGCCCCCCCUCCCUGUCUCGCUCACUGCAUUCGACUCACAUGCUGUAGUUGCACUAUCGCUUGCUGGCUGAAGCUUUGGUGUACCUGCGAUAUGUGAAGUGGUGGGAACGGUGCAGCAACGCAGAACGCAGAUGUAAUGCUGCUUUUCUUUUCCGCCUUUGUCGCUUUCUAUCAGUCUGUAAUCUGUCGGACGAGCAACCACCGGUCAUACGAGGUGUGUGGACUGUUUUCUUAUUAUUUCUUUGAGGCUCCUGUGCGACCACCGGUACCCUCGUCAUCGCUGCCUGCUCCCCCUUUCUUCCCCCUGCUCGCAUCUGCCUUGGAAUCAGUCGCUGCUCUGUUUUCCUCUCUCUGCACUCGUCUCAUCCCUUAUCAUCGAAAAGGGCCGCCAGGAAAGACACGGCAGAUAAAGGGCACGCGUAGCGUCACACGACUCGUGUGAAAGGUGUCUGUGUGUACACUAUUUUUUUUUUUCGUUCAUCACUUCUUUCCCUCCCUUUCGUCUGCUCCCCAGACGCCUCACCUUUCUCCCUCACUGCAUCGUUCGGGUCGUCCUUCGAAGGGGAUCUCGCUUGCUCUCUGUGUAAUCUGCAGCAGAGCCGCGUGUCUCCCUUGGGCAUCGUGCGUGUGUGUGUGUCCCUAUCGGUGUCCGUUUUCCACCCCAGCAUUGCUUCCUCCCUUCGUGUCUCUUUUCCCUUUGGGGGAUUUCUUCUUCACUCUGUGCUGUUGCUGUUGCACUUCAUUUUUCACAGAUAGAGUAGCUCUUGGUAGCAGUAGCUGCCCGCAUAGACCCCCCCCCUUUACGUCACCCUCUCCUUCCUUUUAGUCUCUCACCCCCUCCUGUUGGUUCGCCGCCCCUCCUCAACCUCACAAGCGGCACGGAAACCGUUGCCGUCCUCCUCCUCUUGUGUUUCCGCAACAUUGCUUGCUUUUCAUUUUUGUUGUUGCUGUCGUUGAGCAGUUGGGGCCAACCGCGCUUCGGGGACGCGACACGCAUACGCGCACGCACCCUCGGCCAGAAGCACACCGACGCAUCGUAUGGAUACACGGUGCUGCACCCCGCCGUCGAUUGGCGGCGGUGAUGAUCUCUUUUUAGCCUCCUGCCGGCAUCAGCUGUUCGUGAACGAGGAAGACGAUCACGAGGCGGAGAACACGGCGCUGGAGGCGAGUGUGACCUUGCGACCGUCCGACAGCUUUCCGCGUCUCUCCCAAUCGCACGCAUCUGAGGAGACUCGGCCGAGCGACCCACUCGACACCAACGUGGAGCUUCCCUCGCCCAUUCGCCUGCCACGCUCUCCGCGACGCGCCUUUCAGCCUAUCCCGAUCAACCUCCCCGGCGACAACUGCUUCGGCCGAACCGCCUUUCAGGGCUGGCCAGUGGAAGCGACUGCCAGCGACGGCAUCACAAGCACACCCUGGCGGCCCCCGACCACGUCGGGGCAGCCCAGCGCCGCCCCCGCAGCAGCACCAGCAGCCCAUGCGAGCAUGGCACAUCUGCAGACACCGGAAGUGCAGCGCACAAACUACGCCGUGGCCACUCCCAACAUGAUGGGGCACCUCCUCUACACGCCGCAGAUAUCGCCGGUGUGCCAGGCCUGGCGAACCAGCCUGGAUACCGAGCUUGACAGCGUGAACACACGCUGGGCAGCCGACCAGCUGCCGUCCCUUACAACGCUCAUCGACAACGCCCUCUACGUUGGCGGCUUUCCAGAUUCGCAGACGGUGCCGCAGCUGUACGCGCUGGGCAUCCGCCACAUUGUCAACUGCUGCGCGCAGGACAUUCGCACAGCCCCAGAAGUGGCUGAGAGCUUUCACCUGCACUACUUCGAGUCAUAUGACUCGGAGGAGUACUUGAUUCUCCACCGCGACUACGACGCGUUCGCUGGACUGAUGUCCACCAUUCUAGAAAAUGGAGAGAAGGCCUUCGUGCACUGUAUCGCCGGCGUGAAUCGCAGUGUCGUGCUGUGCGCGGCGUACCUCAUGGACCGUCUCUCGCUGAAUCCGGUGGAAGCGGUUCGUGUGUUCCGUGCCAAUGGUCGCAUGCGCAUCUUGGACAACAAAGGCUUCCGCCAUCAGCUCAUUGACCACUACCUGCAAAGCAUAGAGCCACAGAACGCAAGGGUAGGGCUGCUGUAAAAGGAAGAGACGGCCAAGUGUGAAUGCUUCUUCUUUUAGCUUCUACUGUCGGUGACUUUUGCUUUCUUUCGCCCUCCCCUCCCCGUUGGCGGCAGUAGUUUCUCCUGCCUAUCACCCUCUCAAGGCGCGUUGCGAACCGUUUGUGUUGAUUCGCUGAUACUCAAGCGCAUCUGCUGCUGUUUCACCGUGCUGAAAGGCGGCACCACUCUCCUCCUCACCUUCACUCGCGCGCAGCGACGGACGCUUGUUACAUUGCCACGCACACGGGAGAAAGUCCACUCCGUAAUGCGCGCACCGAGACGUCGUGCUGCGCUUAUCGUGUCUGCUGCCUCCUCUCUCUCAUGUGUAUGUGUGUGUGUGUGUGUGUCGAUGCUGAUUGCUGCCGGAUCGUUUCGUUUUGGUUUCGUUUCUCUGGUGCUGUUCUUCUGUGUUGUUCCCCGCCCCCCCCCGUGGUCGACGUGUCUUGUACUUGCUGCCGACGGAGCUGUUCUUUUCGAUGUAGUUGGUAGAUGGACACACAGAUGCGUGUGUGUGGUUGUGUGCCCCCUAGUCGCCUCUUUGGGCCCUUUCUUGGUUGUUUGGACACACACACAUACACACAUAGACACUUACACGGUCAAGAGAGAAAACAACGCAAAGGGAAGGGGGUCUGAAGGAAAGACGCGUUGUCACCGGCUCUCCACUCACAUGCUCGGUGGGUAGGAGAGGCAUGUGCGGUCGCAGAAGCGCUGUGUUGCUACGGCUGCUGAAUGUGCAACCCGUCUGCGUUGCUUCGCGCCCCCCCCUGUAUUGUACACUGGUGUGCGGGAGAUGCUUGCUAGAGAAAAGCAGAGGUGUGGGUGUAUGCUCUCAGCGCUGUUGUUGGAGUCUUGCGUCUUCAUUGUCGAAAACUCAGAUGAAGCACACAGCCAUGCAGUCAGAGAGGACAGCGUGUGCGCCUGUGGUUCCUGGUCAGAUCCUUUUUGUUUGCAGUUUUUUUUUUUUCGUUUUCGUUCUCCCGGCAUUUUUCCCACUCACCAGCCGCGCGUCUACUCCACGGGCAGCAAAUGCGCGUAUGCACGCGUAUAUCUAGACCUCCAUGGAGCCUGACCCGAAGUCUGGCGUUGUGGUUGCUGUCGUUUUACGGCUCAUUUUCCUCUUGUACAUUUCUGUGUCUUCGUUCUUGCCAUCUACUUUGUUUCCACUACUCUCUCGUUCUCGCAGCCCCGAUCAGAAG
RNAcentral lists this unclassified non-coding RNA (3378 nucleotides) under Leishmania donovani. Its description in RNAcentral is "gene:LdHU3.35.6220(CDS-product:protein_phosphatas e_putative)". Lineage: Eukaryota; Euglenozoa; Kinetoplastea; Trypanosomatida; Trypanosomatidae. The record is from RNAcentral.